Small nucleolar RNA from Dioscorea cayenensis subsp. rotundata (Guinea yam), 107 nucleotides. The record is from RefSeq and is a predicted model, not a curated record. Lineage: Eukaryota; Viridiplantae; Streptophyta; Magnoliopsida; Dioscoreales; Dioscoreaceae.
AAACCAUGGUGUGGGUAUCGUCUCAAGAGAUCCUUAAACCUCUUAUGAGCUUCAAAUAGCAUUUUUGAGUGAUCUUGUUGGAAAGAAGAUAUUUCCUGUCUUAGUCG